This 450-nucleotide ribosomal RNA is filed under the name uncultured bacterium. RNAcentral's name for it is "bacterial SSU rRNA". It matches the Rfam family "Bacterial small subunit ribosomal RNA", at positions 354 to 796 of the family's 1533-position model. The record is from RNAcentral.
GUGGGGAAUUUUGGACAAUGGGCGCAAGCCUGAUCCAGCAAUGCCGCGUGAGUGAAGAAGGCCUUCGGGUUGUAAAGCUCUUUCAGUUGAGAAGAAAAGAUUGUGACUAAUAAUUGCAAUUCAUGACGGUAUCAACAGAAGAAGCACCGGCUAACUACGUGCCAGCAGCCGCGGUAAUACGUAGGGUGCGAGCGUUAAUCGGAAUUACUGGGCGUAAAGGGUGCGCAGGCGGUUCUGUAAGUCAGAUGUGAAAUCCCCGGGCUUAACCUGGGAACUGCGUUUGAAACUACAGAGCUAGAGUGUGGCAGAGGGGGGUGGAAUUCCAUGUGUAGCAGUGAAAUGCGUAGAGAUAUGGAAGAACAUCGAUGGCGAAGGCAGCCCCCUGGGUCAACACUGACGCUCAUGCACGAAAGCGUGGGGAGCAAACAGGAUUAGAUACCCCAGUAGUCC